AAAUUGAAGAGUUUGAUCAUGGCUCAGAUUGAACGCUGGCGGCAGGCCUAACACAUGCAAGUCGAACGGUAACAGGAAACAGCUUGCUGUUUCGCUGACGAGUGGCGGACGGGUGAGUAAUGUCUGGGAAACUGCCCGAUGGAGGGGGAUAACUACUGGAAACGGUAGCUAAUACCGCAUAACGUCGCAAGACCAAAGAGGGGGACCUUCGGGCCUCUUGCUAUCGGAUGUGCCCAGAUGGGAUUAGCUAGUAGGUGGGGUAACGGCUCACCUAGGCGACGAUCCCUAGCUGGUCUGAGAGGAUGACCAGCCACACUGGAACUGAGACACGGUCCAGACUCCUACGGGAGGCAGCAGUGGGGAAUAUUGCACAAUGGGCGCAAGCCUGAUGCAGCCAUGCCGCGUGUAUGAAGAAGGCCUUCGGGUUGUAAAGUACUUUCAGCGGGGAGGAAAGGAGUAAAGUUAAUACCUUUGCUCAUUGACGUUACCCGCAGAAGAAGCACCGGCUAACUCCGUGCCAGCAGCCGCGGUAAUACGGAGGGUGCAAGCGUUAAUCGGAAUUACUGGGCGUAAAGCGCACGCAGGCGGUUUGUUAAGUCAGAUGUGAAAUCCCCGGGCUCAACCUGGGAACUGCAUCUGAUACUGGCAAGCUUGAGUCUCGUAGAGGGGGGUAGAAUUCCAGGUGUAGCGGUGAAAUGCGUAGAGAUCUGGAGGAAUACCGGUGGCGAAGGCGGCCCC
Molecule: ribosomal RNA, 738 nt
Filed under: Escherichia coli
Lineage: Bacteria; Pseudomonadati; Pseudomonadota; Gammaproteobacteria; Enterobacterales; Enterobacteriaceae
Description: bacterial SSU rRNA
Rfam family: Bacterial small subunit ribosomal RNA
Source: RNAcentral